GAUAAACGCUGGCGGCGUGCCUAACACAUGCAAGUCGAACGCUCUUUGUUCGCAAGGACACAAGGGAGUGGCGGACGGGUGAGUAACACAUGGGAAUCGACCCACACGUGAGGAAUACCUGCGAGAAAUCGCAGACAAUACCGCAUAGGCUCGUGGAAGCGAGCAAAGCUCUUUUUCGGAAGGGCGCGGGUGGACGAGCCUGUGUCUGAUUAGCUGGUUGGUGGGGUAAGAGCCUACCAAGGCUGCGAUCAGUCGCUGGUCUGAGAGGAUGAUCAGC
Molecule: ribosomal RNA, 277 nt
Filed under: uncultured bacterium
Lineage: Bacteria
Description: partial 16S ribosomal RNA
Rfam family: Bacterial small subunit ribosomal RNA
Source: RNAcentral